Molecule: ribosomal RNA, 460 nt
Filed under: uncultured bacterium
Lineage: Bacteria
Description: SSU rRNA
Rfam family: Bacterial small subunit ribosomal RNA
Source: RNAcentral
AGAAUCAACGCUGGCGGCGUGCCUAACACAUGCAAGUCGAACGAGAAAGUGGAGCAAUCCAUGAGUACAGUGGCGUACGGGUGAGUAACACGUGACUAACCUACCCUCGAGUGGGGAAUAACCUCGGGAAACCGGGGCUAAUACCGCAUAAUAUCUUCGGAUCAAAUGCGUAAGCAGCUUGAGGAGGGGGUCGCGGCCGAUUAGCUAGUUGGCGGGGUAAUGGCCCACCAAGGCAAUGAUCGGUAGCCGGCCUGAGAGGGCGCACGGCCACACUGGAACUGAAACACGGUCCAGACUCCUACGGGAGGCAGCAGUGGGGAAUUUUGCGCAAUGGGGGAAACCCUGACGCAGCAACGCCGCGUGGAGGAUGAAGCCCCUUGGGGUGUAAACUCCUUUCGAUCGGGACGAUUAUGACGGUACCGGAUGAAGAAGCACCGGCUAACUCUGUGCCAGCAGCCGC